UUUUGCAUCAGGCAGAUAAUAAAAUAAAUAAUGAUAAUGGUAACAGACACAAUAACAGCAAUAACAUAAUAUCAAACAGACAAGUUACUUUAUCUUUGGGUUUCUUCAAACACUCUUUGGAAUAGUCUUUUAAACUGCUUAACAUUUAGUAUGAAAACUGGCUAGAAGGCCUCUCUGGCCAAAGACGCUGUCUUCCCCACAGUCUACAUUUUAUUUCCACCACUCAUAACAUAUAACUAGAAACUUUCUUCAUAUCCCACAUUGGCCAAAUAUAGUAUGAUAAAGUCUGAGCAGAGAGAAGAUUCAUUCAUAAACAAUGAAUAAGCACAGAAGGUUCUGCAGAGCUAAACUUCAGCUACUCGCCAUUUCUGAUUGCCUUUUGUGGCCAGGGUAACCAUCACUGGCUUCCUGGUCUCUUACUUAACUCUGCAAAACAGAAGAACGUUAUGUAGAAUCAAGAAGUAUACAACAGACUGAAGAAUACAGAUUAAAAACUGGCUUUUAAUGCUAUGCAUAAACUUUCAUAAAAGGAUUUUUAUUAUAUCAUUCUAAGUAAAAUUCUGUGUUGAUGAACGGUAACUCUAAUAAUACCUAUAACUUACAAUGGGCCAGGCACGAAUUUAGCCACUUUACAGCAACUCUAUGAAGUGGAUGCUAUCAUUAUCCCCACUUUGUAGAGGAGGAAAUAGAGGCCUAGAGAGAUUAACCUGCCCAAGUUUACACAGCCAGCAGGUGGCAAAGCCAGGAUUUAAACCCACAGAAUUAAUACAUACUAUGUAGGUAAGACUGUGUAAGUUAGUCUUAUUUUAGCCAUUAACGAAACCAUUCCAAUUCUCCAAGGAAAAUUCAACAACUUUUAUAAAACCCAAUUAAAGGGCUAUGGCCAGCAGGAAUUACAAUGUCAAUGCUAAACGUGAUAAGAGGUGACAUGCUGAAACCCUAAAUUAAUGGAAAAGCUACUCCAUCUCCUUACUCUGUUUUUCAGUCUUUGUAUUCUUUCUCUUUUAUCUUUUAUUUCUCAUAACUCUCUCCUUUUUCCUUAAGACCCUGUGGAAUAUAGAGAAAUGGUUGACUAGGAAAUUGAACAGAACAUCACAACACUGGACUCACGAGUCAGAAAAGUUUUAUGUUUGAGGAUGGCUUGGUCCCUAUAAGCCAUGUGACUCUGGCUUGGAAAAAAACACAUAAAUUAUUUGAAUCAAAACUCCUCCUCUGAAAAAUGAGAGAUCUGAACCACAUGAUUUCUAAUUGCCCUCUUCACUCUAAAGCAGUAUGCUUUAGCACUUUAAAAUACUGGAUUUUUAAAAUGAAGAAAAAAUGCUGUGACCUAUUCUUAUUUAAGAGGUAAUUUGGUCUUAUGUAACCUGUUUGUUUUUAGCUUGUCAUUUUGAAUGGCCCUUAAUUGCUUUCUUUAAGAACUAUAGGCUAGUGGCCCUCAACAGAAUAAAGGGUUGACCACUCUAUGCAAUACCAUCCAGAACAUCACAAUUUAGUCUGUUCAUCCAGGUACUUUUCAUCUUGUCACGGGAAUGACGGUGAAGACCCAGAGGUCACAGAGGUCACUAAUCUAUUGAUGCUGGCUACCUACUGCAGAGGGGUGACAGCAGGGGGGUGAGAAUCAGGCAAUUCCUGCAUAAGGGGCCUGCUCACUCCAGGGAGGUUUUCCAGUGAAGUCUACCAGGACUGUGUCCAUCAGGCUGUCAUGCUAGCUGGUUCCGUUCACUCUUUGGGCAGCAACUGAACUUCUCCCAGCCUCAUUCUCAUCGCUGUUUUAAUAAAAAUGAAGCUGCUGAUACGGAAGUGCUGGGAAGGGAAUAGCAUGUUCCCUUUAAAUGAUAUGAAGCAGGGAAGGGAAGAGCUGGGUAGAGGAGGGAGUGGUCCCUGGCUAGGGCUCCACCCCCACGGAUCAAGAUGAGGACAGGCACUCCUGCCUUUGUGUCCAGAUGCUGCAUUUCCAAAGACAACCCUGGCCCAUGACGCCCCCAUCCUGUGGCUAUAAAGACCCGAGGCCCUCUAGAUUUUCUAGUUUAUUUGCGUAGAGGUGUUUAUAGUAUUCUGAUGAUAGUUUGUGUUUCUGUGGGAUCGGUGGUGAUAUCCCCUUUAUCAUUUUUUACUGCAUCUAUUUGAUUCUUCCCUUUUCUUCUUUAUUAGUCUUGCUAGUGAUCUAUCCAUUUUGUUGAUCUUUUCAAAAAACCAGCUCUUGGAUUCAUUGAUUUUUUGAAGGGUUUUUUGUGUCUCUAUCUCCUUCAGAUCUUCUCUGAUCUUAGUUAUUUCUUGCCUUCUGCUAGCUUUUGAAUGUGUUUGCUCUUGCUUCUCUAGUUCUUCUGAUUGUGAUGUUAGGGUGUCAAUUUUAGAUCUUUCCUGCUUUCUCUUGUGGGCAUUUAUUUAGUGCUAUAAGUUUCCCUCUACACACCGCUUUAAAUGUGUCCCAGAGAUUCUGGUAUGUUGUGUCUUUGUUCUCAUUGGUUUCAAAGAACAUUUUAAUUUCUGCCUUCAUUUCGUUAUAAACCCAGUAGUCAUUCAGGAGCAGGAUGUUCAGUUUCCAUGUAGUUGAGCUGUUUUGAGUGAGUUUCUUAAUCCUGAGUUCUAGUUUGAUUGCACUGUGGUCUGAGAGACAGUUUGUCACAAUUUCUGUUGUUUUACAUUUGCUGAGGAGUGCUUUACUUCCAACUAUGUGGUCAAUUUUGGAAUAAGUGCAAGGUGGUGCUGAGAAGAAUGUAUAUUCUGUUGAUUUUGGGUGAAGAGUUCUGUAGAUGUCUAUUAGGUCCCACUUGGUGCAGAGUUCAAUUCCUGGAUAUCCUUGUUAACUUUCUGUCUCGAUCUGUCUAAUGUUGACAGUCGGGUGAUAAAGUCUCCCAUUAUUAUUGUGUGGGAGUCUAAGUCUCUUUGUAGGUCUCUAAGGACUUGCUUUAUGAAUCUGGGUGCUCCUGUAUUGGGUGCAUAUAUAUUUAAGAUAGUUAGCUCUUCUUGUUAAAUUGAUCCCUUUACCAUUAUGUAAUGGCCUUCUUUGUCUCUUUUGAUCUUUGUUGGUUUAAAGUCUGUUUUAUCAGAGACUAGGAUUGCAACCCCUGCCUUUUUUUGUUUUCCAUUUGCUUGGUAGAUCUUCCUCCAUCCUUUUAUUUUGAGCCUAUGUGUGUCUCUGCACAUGAGAUGGGUCUCCUGAAUAUAGCACACUGAUGGGUCUUGACUCUAUCAAAUUUGCCAGUCUGUGUCUUUUAAUUGGAGCAUUUAGCCCAUUUACAUUUAAGGUUAAUAUUGUUAUGUGUAAAUCUGAUCCUGUCAUUAUGAUGUUAGCUGGUUAUUUUGCUUGUUAGUUCAUGCAAUUUCUUCCUAGCAUCAAUGGUCUGUACAAUUUGGCAUGUUUUUGCAGUGGCUGGUACCAAUUAUUCCUUUCCAUGUUUAGUGCUUCCUUCAGGAGCUCUUGUAGGGCAGGCCUGGUGGUGACAAAAUCUCUCAGCAUUUGCUUGUCUGUAAAGGAUUUUAUUUCUCCUUCACUUAUGAAGCUUAGUUUGGCUGGAUAUGAAAUUCUGGGUUGAAAAUUCUUUUCUUUAAGAAUGUUGAAUAUUGGCCCCCACUUUCUACUGGCUUGUAGAGUUUCUGCAGAGAGCCACUGUUAGUCUGAUGGGCUUCCCUUUGUGGGUAACCUGACCUUUCUAUCUGGCUGCCCUUAACACUUUUUCCUUCAUUUCAACUUUGGUGAAUCUGACAAUUAUGUGUCUUGGAGUUGCUCUUCUCGAGGAGUAUCUUUGUGGCGUUCUCUGUAUUUCCUGAAUAUGAAUGUUGGCCUGCCUUGCUAGGUUGGGGAAGUUCUCCAGGAUAAUAUCCUGAAGAGUGUUUUCCAACUUGGUUCCAUUCUCCCCGUCACUUUCAGGUACACCAAUCAGACGUAGAUUUGGUCUUUUCACAUAGUCCCAUAUUUCUUGGAGGCUUUGUUCAUUUUUUUUUACUCUUUUUUCUCUAAACUUCUCUUCUCCCAAGACUAAACCAGGAAGAAGUUGAAUCCCUGAAUAGACCAAUAACAGGCUCUGAAAUUGAGGCAAUAAUUAAUAGCCUACCACCAAG
This 4062-nucleotide long non-coding RNA is filed under the name Homo sapiens (human). RNAcentral describes it as "non-protein coding lnc-MAP3K9-13:1". Lineage: Eukaryota; Metazoa; Chordata; Mammalia; Primates; Hominidae. The record is from RNAcentral.